RNAcentral lists this ribosomal RNA (127 nucleotides) under Mycobacterium sp. ITM-2017-0098. RNAcentral describes it as "partial 16S ribosomal RNA". It matches the Rfam family "Bacterial small subunit ribosomal RNA", at positions 1418 to 1533 of the family's 1533-position model. The record is from RNAcentral. Lineage: Bacteria; Bacillati; Actinomycetota; Actinomycetes; Mycobacteriales; Mycobacteriaceae.
CACCCGAAGCCGGUGGCCUAACCCCUUGUGGGAGGGAGCCGUCGAAGGUGGGAUCGGCGAUUGGGACGAAGUCGUAACAAGGUAGCCGUACCGGAAGGUGCGGCUGGAUCACCUCCUUUCUAAGGAG